GCUCAGCCAAGGCCACACAGCUGUCCCUCGUGAAGGCAGGAUCUAAACAUGAUGGUGUGCAUAGAAACUGAAGCAUUUUACAAGACUAUACUUUCGAGAAGUCCCUAAAGAUGUGCCGUGAAUCUGGCUAACACUGAACUAGUAAACAUAUCGUUGUAACAUCAGACUGGCUGCUGUAUACAUUAGACCAAAGAGAGGCAGGGACAAAAACAUGAUUUGAACAUUUUAAAUUAUCAGUCUAAUACUCCCUAUUUCUGGAAACGGCUAGGAAGAGCCGUCAUCACGAGUCAGACGUUGAGAGGUACACAGAAAGAGAGAGAGAAUCACCUUGCGCCGUGUCAGCAAGCCCUGCGAGGACGACCCACCAAAACCAGGCCACAGAAAGAUUGGGUAACUUCCCCAGCACCCUGGGAAGUAGUGGCUGGGAUCCUGACACACACAGGCUGGAAUCCACACGCCUCAGCCCUGCACACC
Panthera uncia (snow leopard) is the source of this 474-nucleotide long non-coding RNA. RefSeq lists it as uncharacterized. Lineage: Eukaryota; Metazoa; Chordata; Mammalia; Carnivora; Felidae. The record is from RefSeq and is a predicted model, not a curated record. The transcript is spliced from 4 exons.